CAGUUUAUAUGAUGAUUUAAUUUGCGUUCUAGAUCCCAGUUUCCGAAACACGCCUAGUUUCACUAAGGUUCUGGGCACCAUGCGACCACUUUCUAUUCUGAUAGACAU
RNAcentral lists this small nucleolar RNA (108 nucleotides) under Sungouiella intermedia. Its description in RNAcentral is "Candida intermedia Small nucleolar RNA snR87". It matches the Rfam family "Small nucleolar RNA snR87". Lineage: Eukaryota; Fungi; Ascomycota; Pichiomycetes; Serinales; Metschnikowiaceae. The record is from Rfam by way of RNAcentral.